RNAcentral lists this long non-coding RNA (2464 nucleotides) under Mytilus galloprovincialis (Mediterranean mussel). Lineage: Eukaryota; Metazoa; Mollusca; Bivalvia; Mytilida; Mytilidae. The record is from RNAcentral.
AAAUUCAAAUAUAGGAAUGCAGAAUUAAAAUAUAUACAAGUAUUUGUAUUAAGAGAUUUUGAGUCUCAAAAAAAAAAUUAUCAGUCAAUAGUAUAUAUGCAAGGCACAAAAAAGCAAUGGUAAAGAAACUAUAAAGCGAUAUCAAGCUAGAAUGAAAAAAAUGAAUUAAAUUUUUAAAUUCAUAAAUUAUGUGUCUUAAAUAAGCAUCUUAAUAAAUGUCAAUGACAGAUAAUACAAAUAUUUGUAAACAAAAUAUAAUUUUACAAAUGAAAAGAAAUGUAAUAGGGUAACUGAUUUACUUCUUCUACCAUUUCAAUAACCAUUGCUAACCUGAGUUCAAUCAUCUAAAUAAAAAACAAUCAGAUUUCUAAACAAGCACCUUUUGUGUAAUUUGUUAGUAUAUGUUUUCAUUUUAAAUAAAAUCUUAUUUCUACUAUGACUUUAAGUGGAGUCCAUAUUUUAACAGUUUUGGUUUACUUAUAUUUCCAUGUUAAUAUAUGUAGUAACGUAUAAAACUGUUUUUUUUUAUUGAUGGAAAUGUUAAUAAUAAUGUUAAGUCCUACACAACCUUAUAAUAAUUUAAAAUAUUUUUGACUAAAGUAAUCUUAAAGUAUGGAAGAGGUGCAGAUUUUCAAAAAAAAUUCUUUACUUACAAACCAGAGCUAUUAGAAUUUAUAAUAAUACAAUUGUAAUGUUUGAAAUAUUUUUCAAUUGGGAUUUUUCUGGUAUAUGGGAGAUAAUUCAAAGUGUAUCAUGUUCAAACAUUGCUCAAUGUCUGAUAGGUAUCAUACAUUUGAAAAAGAGGGGUGAAAGAUACCAGAGGGAAAGUCAUUCUCAUGGAUGGAAAAUAAAUAGAAAAGUUAUGUCGCAAGUCCAGAUAUCUCUAUUUGAAGAAUCUUAAAUUCCUUAAAGAAUAAAAAAAAUAAUAGUAUAUGCACUUUAAGCCGUAAAUAACCUUUUUAACAGCUACCUCAUUUUAGACAUUUUUAGAACAUUAUAUAAGAUAUCAAAAAAAGGAUAUAAUCAAAUUGGAUUUUGUCAAAUUAAUUUACAUUUUGGUAAUCUAAAAAAUAUUUGAGCAAUAAUGAAAUGCAUUAUGCAACUGACAUUUUCUGUCAAAAUAAAUGAGAUCAACAUUUUUUACUCUAGGGCAGUGACAUUUCAACAAGAAGGCAGUUAUUUUCCUUUAACAAGAAAUGUACACAAUCAAAAUUUCAUUGAUCAAAACAAAACAAGUACAAGAAAGACAACCUGCAGUUAUAAAUAUGAAUCUUAAUUUUGUUCUAAAUCAGAUUCUGACAAAUAAAUAAUGAUAAGUAUUUAAGGUGGUACCAAAUACCUUCACAAAACUUUAAUUUGGCUCGUUUAAUUUUCAUAAAAUUUUAAUGUUUACUUUGACCAUAUGACAAAAAUAUAAAAAUUUUAAAAAUCUUGAACCACACACUUUAUCGGAAAGUUUUCUUUGGACAAAUAAUAGUUUGACUAACACUAAUUUUGAUCAUCAAGAAGCUUAAUAUUUCCAGAACAAAAGAACAUAAUUAAAACGUUCAGCUGAUUUUUACAGAGUUAUCUCCCUGUAGUGUUAUGUACCACCUUAAUGAAACUUUUCUAAUAUAAGUGUAAAUUUUUCAAACUUAAAUUAGAUAUCCACCUCUUAGAGAAAUUUUCAACUGAAAAAAAAUCUACAGAAACUUUUUGAUUUCUUUUAUGAUAUUUGUUUGUGCGUUAUGUGUAUGAUUACUAAGGAAAACAAUUCUGUACUAAGCAACAUUCAAAUGAAUUUAAUCAUAAAUUGACUACAUAACUUUAACAACUCAAAAUUGUGUACAUAAACAAUUUUAAUACUAUAAUGUGCCAAUUAUGAUAAAACAUUAUACUACAUGUACUAUGCAUAUUGAAAAUUUUUUAUAAAGUGUGUUAAUUACAAAAAUAAAAUUGAGCAAUUAUCAUCUUUCAAAAAAUCUCUUUUCUAGUAAGUAUUGCAACACAUCUAAAGGGACUACACACUAGCUAUGCUUCAAUACAGGUAUGUCUAUGAAAAAAAAAACCAAUAAAUUAAGGCUUGCUUCAGUUAUUUGCAUAAAUGGCAAGGUACCCUUGAUUUAAAUGAUUAAUUUCAUCUCAAGCAUGAACAUUAUCUUAGAACAGUUAAUUUCAUGGUUCACCUGUAUCCACGAAAAUUGGUAUUCAACGGAUAAUAAUGAGUCCACAGUAUGUCAUUUAUUCAGGCAAGAUAUAGGUUUACCCUGAUAAAAAAUAUCUCACAUUCUAGGAAGAAUGUUUAUUGAAUGAAAUGUUAUAAUAUGAAUGAAACAAGAUAAAGGGCAUAUAUAAAUGAGACUUCUACCUGAGAGAAAACACACAUCAAAGUUUAAAUGUUGUUCCUAAAUAGCACGCAACUGAGACUAAAUAAUGUUAUUUUAUGUCAAAUGACAAAUACUAUAUGUAAAUCCUUCAUAAGACA